CGACGCUUAUGCGUUGUUGGGUAGGGGAGCGUUCUGUAAGCCUGUGAAGGUGGCCUGUGAGGGUUGCUGGAGGUAUCAGAAGUGCGAAUGCUGACAUAAGUAACGAUAAAGCGGGUGAAAAGCCCGCUCGCCGGAAGACCAAGGGUUCCUGUCCAACGUUAAUCGGGGCAGGGUGAGUCGACCCCUAAGGCGAGGCCGAAAGGCGUAGUCGAUGGGAAACGGGUUAAUAUUCCCGUACUUGGUGUUACUGCGAAGGGGGGACGGAGAAGGCUAUGUUGGCCGGGCGACGGUUGUCCCGGUUUAAGCGUGUAGGUGUGUGUUCCAGGUAAAUCCGGUUCACUUUAACACUGAGGCGUGAUGACGAGGCACUACGGUGCUGAAGUAACAAAUGCCCUGCUUCCAGGAAAAGCCUCUAAGCAUCAGGUAACAUCAAAUCGUACCCCAAACCGACACAGGUGGUCAGGUAGAGAAUACCAAGGCGCUUGAGAGAACUCGGGUGAAGGAACUAGGCAAAAUGGUGCCGUAACUUCGGGAGAAGGCACGCUGACACGUAGGUGAAGUGAUUUACUCAUGGAGCUGAAGUCAGUCGAAGA
This 593-nucleotide ribosomal RNA is filed under the name Salmonella enterica subsp. enterica serovar Dublin. RNAcentral describes it as "bacterial LSU rRNA". It matches the Rfam family "Bacterial large subunit ribosomal RNA", at positions 1209 to 1783 of the family's 2925-position model. The record is from RNAcentral. Lineage: Bacteria; Pseudomonadati; Pseudomonadota; Gammaproteobacteria; Enterobacterales; Enterobacteriaceae.